Molecule: non-coding RNA, 23 nt
Filed under: Arabidopsis thaliana (thale cress)
Lineage: Eukaryota; Viridiplantae; Streptophyta; Magnoliopsida; Brassicales; Brassicaceae
Source: RNAcentral
AUCGCGGUUCACUCGUGGCAACA